GAUGAUUUUGAUGUUAGGAACUUUAAGACUGUAUAGUUGUAAAGAAGAUUAAUUUUUCAGUAGAACUUUUUACAAGUUACAUUGUUAUACCUCAAAUGGAAGAAAUGCUCACUUUCCAUUUUGUUGUUGUUAUUUAUAAUACAUAGUUCUGAUGAAGAAAUAUGAGCCAUUUAGUGUAUGAAGACCGUAGGCAUACAUUGUGUCACCAUUUCCCAGUAUGGGAAGGGUGUUUUAUCUAGUGGGUUGUUUCUUUUAAUAAUGAAUGUUGUUAUUUGUGAAUUGUUGAAAAUAAAAAUAUGCAAUAGUAAAAAUAUUAAAAACCAACCAGACAGAUAAUGCUGUUUUUCUUUAUUUGAAAUGAAAC
This 364-nucleotide long non-coding RNA is filed under the name Mytilus galloprovincialis (Mediterranean mussel). Lineage: Eukaryota; Metazoa; Mollusca; Bivalvia; Mytilida; Mytilidae. The record is from RNAcentral.